RNAcentral lists this ribosomal RNA (688 nucleotides) under Russula aff. pluvialis. RNAcentral's name for it is "partial large subunit ribosomal RNA". Lineage: Eukaryota; Fungi; Basidiomycota; Agaricomycetes; Russulales; Russulaceae. The record is from RNAcentral.
AANUCUCCUGGAAUGGAGCGUCAUARAGGGUGAGAAUCCCGUCNNNGGACAUGGACCCCAGGGCUUCUGUGAUGCGCUCUCAAAGAGUCNAGUUGUUUGGGAAUGCAGCUCAAAAUGGGUGGUGAACUCCAUCUAAAGCUAAAUAUUGGCGAGAGACCGAUAGCGAACAAGUACCGUGAGGGAAAGAUGAAAAGCACUUUGGAAAGAGAGUGAAACAGUACGUGAAAUUGUUGAAAGGGAAACGCUUGAAGUCAGUCGCGUUGACCGAGACUCACCCUUGCCCUUGGCUUGGUGUACUUCUCGGCUGACGGGUCAGCAUCAAUUUUGAUCCUUGGAUAAUGGSAAGGGAAAGGUGGCACCUUUAGGUGUGUUAUAGUCCUUUGUCGGAUGCAAGGGUUGGGAUUGAGGAACUCAGCAUGCACCUCACGGUGUCGGGGCCUCUGGCUCACGUUACAUGCUUAGGAUGCUGGCGUAAUGGCUUUAAACGACCCGUCUUGAAACACGGACCAAGGAGUCUAACAUGCCCGCGAGUGUUCGGGUGGAAAACCCGUGCGCGUAAUGAAAGUAAAAGUUGGGACCUCUGUCAUAGAGGGCACCGACGCCCGGACCAGACCUUCUGUGACGGCUCUGCGGUAGAGCGUGUAUGUUGGGACCCGAAAGAUGGUGAACUAUGCCUGAAUAGGGUGAA